UUCCAGGGGCUAAUAAAAAAAUAUACUAUAGUAAUGAAUGAGGAGCACAACCAACUAAAAUAAAUAUUUUAGUUGGUUGUGCUCCUCAUUCAUUCAUUACUAUAGUAUGUUGUCUCAGGAU
Non-coding RNA from Pelobates cultripes (western spadefoot toad), 121 nucleotides. Lineage: Eukaryota; Metazoa; Chordata; Amphibia; Anura; Pelobatidae. The record is from the annotation of a GenBank genome assembly.